CCUUUCUUUCUGUGGUACUAAGAAUUGGCACGGGUAGCCAUAUUGUAGGCAUUUCGAGAACUGAUACUGGUAGUCAGUAUUGAGAGAAAAGAAUUGACACAAAUAACCAUAUUAUGGGCAUUUCGAGAAAUGACACUAGUAGUCAGUAUUGUGGGAAAAGAAUUGGCACUAGUAGCCAUAUUGUGUGGGUGUAUUCGAGAUCAGUUCUUAUAGUGCAGUAAGAAUUCGAUAACAUAGAUUUGGGUUGUUUUAUCCUGGGGCGGC
This 264-nucleotide long non-coding RNA is filed under the name Lupinus angustifolius (narrow-leaved blue lupine). RNAcentral describes it as "long non-coding RNA (LANG_LNC001674)". The record is from RNAcentral. Lineage: Eukaryota; Viridiplantae; Streptophyta; Magnoliopsida; Fabales; Fabaceae.